Molecule: ribosomal RNA, 413 nt
Filed under: Littorina littorea
Lineage: Eukaryota; Metazoa; Mollusca; Gastropoda; Littorinimorpha; Littorinidae
Description: partial 28S ribosomal RNA
Source: RNAcentral
AAACCGCCUAGAGGUAAACGGGUGGAUCCGCAAAGUCGGCCCGCGGAAUUCAGCUCGGAUGGCUGGCGCGUGCGCCGGGCAAGAGAUCUGAACGGACUCUCCUGGUGAACGACGCUGGUCGGCCGUGUGCACUUUCCGCGGGCAGAGCGCCACGACCGGUUCUCGGGUGGUCAGAAGGCGGCGAGGAAGGUAGGUGGGCGCUUCGGCGCCUACUGUUAUAGCCUCGCCUGACCCGACCCACCUGGGGACCGAGGAGCCGCCGUCGGUGUAGGCCGCCUCGCUUUCUUGGGAUGUUCGACUGGCGGAGACUGGGCAACCGUGUCUGCCGACCGCUUCCUGAGAUGGACUGGGGUGGGCCCGCCGGCACAGGGUCAGUGGCGAAUCGGUCGGCCCUUCACCCGACCCGUNUUGGA